This 553-nucleotide ribosomal RNA is filed under the name Microbacterium maritypicum. RNAcentral describes it as "bacterial SSU rRNA". It matches the Rfam family "Bacterial small subunit ribosomal RNA", at positions 52 to 616 of the family's 1533-position model. Lineage: Bacteria; Bacillati; Actinomycetota; Actinomycetes; Micrococcales; Microbacteriaceae. The record is from RNAcentral.
CACAUGCAAGUCGAACGGUGAACACGGAGCUUGCUCUGUGGGAUCAGUGGCGAACGGGUGAGUAACACGUGAGCAACCUGCCCCUGACUCUGGGAUAAGCGCUGGAAACGGCGUCUAAUACUGGAUAUGUGACGUGACCGCAUGGUCUGCGUCUGGAAAGAAUUUCGGUUGGGGAUGGGCUCGCGGCCUAUCAGCUUGUUGGUGAGGUAAUGGCUCACCAAGGCGUCGACGGGUAGCCGGCCUGAGAGGGUGACCGGCCACACUGGGACUGAGACACGGCCCAGACUCCUACGGGAGGCAGCAGUGGGGAAUAUUGCACAAUGGGCGCAAGCCUGAUGCAGCAACGCCGCGUGAGGGACGACGGCCUUCGGGUUGUAAACCUCUUUUAGCAGGGAAGAAGCGAAAGUGACGGUACCUGCAGAAAAAGCGCCGGCUAACUACGUGCCAGCAGCCGCGGUAAUACGUAGGGCGUAAGCGUUAUCCGGAAUUAUUGGGCGUCAAGAGCUCAUAGGCGGUUUGUCGCGUCGGCUGUGAAAUCCGGAGGCCUUAUCUU